AUACUUACCUGGCAGGGGAGAUAGAUAACCAUGAUCAUGAAGGUGGUUUAGGGCAAGGCUCAUCCAUUGCAUUGCGGAUGUGUUGACCCCUGUGAUUUCCCCAAAUGUGUGAAACUCGAUUGCAUAAUUUGUGGUAGUGGGGGACUGCAUUCACACUCUCCCAUU
This is a non-coding RNA of Otolemur garnettii (small-eared galago), 165 nucleotides long. The record is from Rfam. NCBI's taxonomy places the organism in Eukaryota, Metazoa, Chordata, Mammalia, Primates, Galagidae.